RNAcentral lists this ribosomal RNA (522 nucleotides) under Carabus stenocephalus. RNAcentral describes it as "partial 16S ribosomal RNA". The stretch from base 396 to 522 matches the Rfam family "Bacterial large subunit ribosomal RNA", at positions 2473 to 2599 of the family's 2925-position model. Lineage: Eukaryota; Metazoa; Arthropoda; Insecta; Coleoptera; Carabidae. The record is from RNAcentral.
GUCCUUUUGAUUUUUAUUUAAGGUCUAGUCUGCCCACUGAAUUUAUAUUUUAAAUGGCCGCAGUAUUUUGACUGUGCAAAGGUAGCAUAAUCAUUAGUUUUUUAAUUAAAAGCUUGUAUGAAAGGCUGGACGAGGUAAGAUCUGUCUCUAUUUAAAUUAUAAUAGAAUUUAACUUUUAAGUUAAAAGGCUUAAAUAUUAUUAAAAGACGAGAAGACCCUAUAGAUCUUUAUAAUUUAUUUAAUAAAAUUAAUUUAGAAAUGUUAAUAUUUUUAUUUAAUUAAAUUAUUUUAUUGGGGUAAUAGAAAGAUUGAAUUAAUUCUUUUUUAUUAUAAACAUUAAUUUAUGAAUAUUAAAUGAUCCAGUUUUACUGAUUAUAAGAUUAAGUUACCUUAGGGAUAACAGCGUAAUUUUUUUAGAGAGUUCAUAUCGAUAAAAAAGUUUGCGACCUCGAUGUUGGAUUAAAGAUUAUUUUAGGUGCAGAAGCUUANUAAUUUUGGUCUGUUCGACCAUUAAAUCUUUAC